GGGAGCUUAGCUCAGUCGGUAGAGCAACUGGCUGUUAACCAGUUUGUCGGGGGUUCGAGUCCCUCAUCUCCCG
This 73-nucleotide transfer RNA is filed under the name Candidatus Delongbacteria bacterium GWF2_40_14. RNAcentral describes it as "tRNA-Asn". It matches the Rfam family "tRNA". Rfam says of the family: Transfer RNA (tRNA) molecules are approximately 80 nucleotides in length. Their secondary structure includes four short double-helical elements and three loops (D, anti-codon, and T loops). Further hydrogen bonds mediate the characteristic L-shaped molecular structure. tRNAs have two regions of fundamental functional importance: the anti-codon, which is responsible for specific mRNA codon recognition, and the 3' end, to which the tRNAs corresponding amino acid is attached (by aminoacyl-tRNA synthetases). tRNAs cope with the degeneracy of the genetic code in two manners: having more than one tRNA (with a specific anti-codon) for a particular amino acid; and 'wobble' base-pairing, i.e. permitting non-standard base-pairing at the 3rd anti-codon position. The record is from RNAcentral. RNAcentral also lists the same sequence under 3 other names. Lineage: Bacteria; Candidatus Delongiibacteriota.